RNAcentral lists this ribosomal RNA (986 nucleotides) under uncultured bacterium. RNAcentral's name for it is "bacterial SSU rRNA". It matches the Rfam family "Bacterial small subunit ribosomal RNA", at positions 8 to 1024 of the family's 1533-position model. The record is from RNAcentral.
AGAGUUUGAUCCUGGCUCAGAAUCAACGCUGGCGGCGUGCCUAACACAUGCAAGUCGAACGAGAAAGUGGUAGCAAUACCAUGAGUAAAGUGGCGCACGGGUGAGUAACACGUGACUAACCUACCCUGGAGUGGGGGAUAACUGAGGGAAACCUUAGCUAAUACCGCAUAAUACCCACGGGUCAAAGGAGCAAUUCGCUCUGGGAGGGGGUCGCGGCCGAUUAGUUAGUUGGCGGGGUAACGGCCCACCAAGACGAUGAUCGGUAUCCGGCCUGAGAGGGCGCACGGACACACUGGAACUGAAACACGGUCCAGACUCCUACGGGAGGCAGCAGUGGGGAAUUUUGCGCAAUGGGGGAAACCCUGACGCAGCAACGCCGCGUGGAGGAUGAAGUCCUUCGGGACGUAAACUCCUUUCGAUCGGGACGAUAAUGACGGUACCGGAAGAAGAAGCCCCGGCUAACUUCGUGCCAGCAGCCGCGGUAAUACGAGGGGGGCGAGCGUUGUUCGGAAUUAUUGGGCGUAAAGGGUGCGUAGGCGGCUUGGUAAGUCUUAUGUGAAAUCUAUGGGCUCAACUCAUAGACUGCAUGAGAAACUGCCGGGCUCGAGUGUGGGAGAGGUGAGUGGAAUUUCCGGUGUAGCGGUGAAAUGCGUAGAUAUCGGAAGGAACACCUGUGGCGAAAGCGGCUCACUGGACCACAACUGACGCUGAUGCACGAAAGCUAGGGGAGCAAACAGGAUUAGAUACCCUGGUAGUCCUAGCCCUAAACGAUGACUGCUUGGUGUGACGGGUACCCAAUCCCGCCGUGCCGUAGCUAACGCGUUAAGCAGUCCGCCUGGGGAGUACGGUCGCAAGGCUGAAACUCAAAGGAUUUGACGGGGGCCCGCACAAGCGGUGGAGCAUGUGGUUCAUUUCGACGCAACGCGAAGAACCUUACCUGGCUCGAAAUGUAGUGGACCGGAGUAGAAUAUUCCUUCUCAGCAAUG